CUAAGUCAAAUCCCAGUUCAGCAUAUAAACUUUAUCUAAAAUCAUUCAAUUAUGCUAUAAAUUCAGAUUUUAUAUAAAACAUGCAAAUCCACGAAUUCGAGCUACUAAUAUGAUGAUCACGACAAGAAGCUAUACAUGCUGAAAUUUCUACGACUUAGGAGGAAUUCCGACGAUUUCGGUAAAUAUUAACCCACCUCAAACGCUCGUCC
Molecule: long non-coding RNA, 209 nt
Filed under: Ananas comosus (pineapple)
Lineage: Eukaryota; Viridiplantae; Streptophyta; Magnoliopsida; Poales; Bromeliaceae
Description: long non-coding RNA (ACOM_LNC024417)
Source: RNAcentral